RNAcentral lists this ribosomal RNA (451 nucleotides) under Listeria monocytogenes. RNAcentral's name for it is "partial 23S ribosomal RNA". It matches the Rfam family "Bacterial large subunit ribosomal RNA", at positions 408 to 861 of the family's 2925-position model. The record is from RNAcentral. Lineage: Bacteria; Bacillati; Bacillota; Bacilli; Caryophanales; Listeriaceae.
CUGAGUACGGCGGAACACGUGAAAUUCCGUCGGAAUCCGGGAGGACCAUCUCCCAAGGCUAAAUACUCCCUAGUGACCGAUAGUGAACCAGUACCGUGAGGGAAAGGUGAAAAGCACCCCGGAAGGGGAGUGAAACAGUUCCUGAAACCGUGUGCCUACAAGUAGUUAGAGCCCGUUAAUGGGUGAUAGCGUGCCUUUUGUAGAAUGAACCGGCGAGUUACGAUUUGUUGCAAGGUUAAGCGGAAAAAGCGGAGCCGUAGCGAAAGCGAGUCUGAAUAGGGCGCAUAAGUAACAGGUCGUAGACCCGAAACCAGGUGAUCUACCCAUGUCCAGGAUGAAGGUAAGGUAAUACUUACUGGAGGUCCGAACCCACGCACGUUGAAAAGUGCGGGGAUGAGGUGUGGGUAGCGGAGAAAUUCCAAUCGAACUUGGAGAUAGCUGGUUCUCUCCG